RNAcentral lists this ribosomal RNA (567 nucleotides) under Auricularia sp. HD988. RNAcentral describes it as "eukaryotic LSU rRNA". The stretch from base 167 to 320 matches the Rfam family "5.8S ribosomal RNA". The record is from RNAcentral. Lineage: Eukaryota; Fungi; Basidiomycota; Agaricomycetes; Auriculariales; Auriculariaceae.
UAGGGCAAACAGAUCUAAGGCUUCGGUCUUAAUUUCGGCUGGUGCGCUCAGGCUGCACGCCGAUAACCUCUCACACCUGUGCACCUUUUCGGUUGCGGUUUCGGCAGCUUCCGCUUUUACAUGCAACCACGAAAAGUCUAGAAUGUGACGAGAACUAUAAAGUAACAACUUUCAACAACGGAUCUCUUGGCUCUCGCAUCGAUGAAGAACGCAGCGAAAUGCGAUAAGUAAUGUGAAUUGCAGAAUUCAGUGAAUCAUCGAAUCUUUGAACGCACCUUGCGCUCCUUGGUAUUCCAUGGAGCAUGCCUGUUUGAGUGUCACGUAAACCCCUCACCCCUGCAAUGUACCAUCCCCCGGCGGGGAACUGGAACCGGGCCGGUAAUCGGUUCGCCUGGAAAUGCAUUACUUGGCCUUUUAAAAGGGUGGGCCAAACGGGGGGAUAAUAAUCGGCGCCAACGGCCUGGGGCUUCUUCACCGGCCCUGCUACCAGCCGUCCCUGGUGAACAACUAUUUAAAAGCUUUGGCUUCAAAUCAGGUAGAACUACCGGUUGACCUUAGCCUUCAGAG